Molecule: long non-coding RNA, 603 nt
Filed under: Physcomitrium patens
Lineage: Eukaryota; Viridiplantae; Streptophyta; Bryopsida; Funariales; Funariaceae
Description: long non-coding RNA (PPAT_LNC001728)
Source: RNAcentral
AUGAUGUGAGUUGUUGUGGAAAUCUUCUCAACAGCAGCAAUAAUGUUUGUCUUUGAAUGAUGUUGCAUCAUCAGGAAGGACAAGCCAUUUUCGCAACCAUGGGGAGCGAAGCAAUAGUUCAUGGCACGAAACGGCUUCACAGUGCAGAGGAUGAGUUCGCAGUCUGGAACGAGAGUGAUGCUAUUGGAAGAGGUGGGUCUGAGGAAGUCCACGAUGAAGGAACUUAAUAUUUCAGGCAAAAAUGGAUGUCAUUUGAACUACCAUGCUCUCCUCACUCGCUUCAAAAGCUAAUAAAUUACAACUUUCUACUCUGGUUACGAAACUUGGAUUCAUGGCAGCAAUUACAACUCAAAGCUGCUAGUUUACGAAUUCACGGCCAAAGGUGAGAUUUUGCACAUGAAGUUGGGAGUUACUCUCGACUGGAGAAUUUGGUUGAGGAUCGACCCAAGCUCUGCGCAGCUAUGAAACUCUAAGCUUAUACACGCCUUAUUUUGCAGGUUCCCAUGGGUUACAUUGCGCCUGAUAGGCUUCAUGUUUUCUCUCCCUCUGAUUUAUCGCCUCCUUUGGCACAACCAGAUGCCUCGAAUUUCUAGACAUGCGUUC